This 900-nucleotide ribosomal RNA is filed under the name uncultured bacterium. RNAcentral's name for it is "bacterial SSU rRNA". It matches the Rfam family "Bacterial small subunit ribosomal RNA", at positions 11 to 888 of the family's 1533-position model. The record is from RNAcentral.
GUUUGAUCCUGGCUCAGGACGAACGCUGGCGGCGUGCCUAAUACAUGCAAGUAGAACGCUGAAGAGAGGAGCUUGCUCUUCUUGGAUGAGUUGCGAACGGGUGAGUAACGCGUAGGUAACCUGCCUGGUAGCGGGGGAUAACUAUUGGAAACGAUAGCUAAUACCGCAUAAAAUUGAUUAUUGCAUGAUAAUUAAUUGAAAGAUGCAAUUGCAUCACUACCAGAUGGACCUGCGUUGUAUUAGCUAGUUGGUGAGGUAACGGCUCACCAAGGCGACGAUACAUAGCCGACCUGAGAGGGUGAUCGGCCACACUGGGACUGAGACACGGCCCAGACUCCUACGGGAGGCAGCAGUAGGGAAUCUUCGGCAAUGGGGGGAACCCUGACCGAGCAACGCCGCGUGAGUGAAGAAGGUUUUCGGAUCGUAAAGCUCUGUUGUAAGAGAAGAACGGGUGUGAGAGUGGAAAGUUCACGCUGUGACGGUAUCUUACCAGAAAGGGACGGCUAACUACGUGCCAGCAGCCGCGGUAAUACGUAGGUCCCGAGCGUUAUCCGGAUUUAUUGGGCGUAAAGCGAGCGCAGGCGGUUAGAUAAGUCUGAAGUUAAAGGCUGUGGCUUAACCAUAGUACGCUUUGGAAACUGUUUAACUUGAGUGCAAGAGGGGAGAGUGGAAUUCCAUGUGUAGCGGUGAAAUGCGUAGAUAUAUGGAGGAACACCGGUGGGCGAAAGCGGCUCUCUGGCUUGUAACUGACGCUGAGGCUCGAAAGCGUGGGGGAGCAAACAGGAUUAGAUACCCUGGUAGUCCACGCCGUAAACGAUGAGUGCUAGGUGGUAGGAGGUAUCGACCCCUUCUUGUGCCGGAGUUAACGCAAUAAGUACCCCGCCUGGGGGAGUACGACCG